AGUUAUAUCCCCUCACCAAUCGUCCUCUGCAAUCUCUGCAAUCUCUGCAACCAAUCUUUCUCCUUCAAGUAAUCAAAAUUAUCCAGCUUCAAGAACCUGUUUUUCAGCCGUGUGAACUUCACAAUCCAAAUUCAAUUCAAAGAGGUGAUAUCUCGCAAGGGAAUCGUGAUCGCAAAGGAAAGAAAAUAGUUUUGGAUUAAGCACUCGAGGUUGAGCGGCGACGAGGAUGUGGUGGUGUUGAGCAAGUGAACCUAAUAUGUUAUUGAUGUCUUUGAACCUUGAGUGUCGUUGUGUCGUCACACAUGACGUCACUCUUUCUCUUGGUCGUUUCCGCUGUGACGUGUCGUUAAAUUAUGAAUUAUUUGGGCCGACAACUUUAAUUGUUGGGCUAUUGGAUGUUCUGAAUUUCUUGUUGGAUAAUAUUAAACUCUUGCUUAUUCAUUUGGAUA
Salvia splendens (bonfire salvia) is the source of this 449-nucleotide long non-coding RNA. RefSeq lists it as uncharacterized. Lineage: Eukaryota; Viridiplantae; Streptophyta; Magnoliopsida; Lamiales; Lamiaceae. The record is from RefSeq and is a predicted model, not a curated record. The transcript is spliced from 4 exons.